Molecule: small RNA, 265 nt
Filed under: Peromyscus maniculatus bairdii (prairie deer mouse)
Lineage: Eukaryota; Metazoa; Chordata; Mammalia; Rodentia; Cricetidae
Description: 7SK RNA (ENSPEMG00000002571.2)
Rfam family: 7SK RNA
About the family: 7SK was discovered as an abundant small nuclear RNA in the mid-70s but a possible function has only recently been suggested. Two independent studies have found that 7SK RNA binds the CDK9/cyclin T complex (known as elongation factor P-TEFb). P-TEFb activates transcription by phosphorylating the C-terminal domain of RNA polymerase II.
Source: RNAcentral
GGAUGUAAGGGCAGUGUGGCUUUGGCAUUUCACCCCACUCCUAAGAAGGGUUGUCUGGCUGACUAGGUGGGAAUCUCCUUCCUCACCAUUCCAUGUGUAUCCCUUCCUAAACUGAAUAUCCAGUUGAAAAGGACAACUUUCCCUGACUAAGAAGGACCAUUCUUCAGCCAAGGACAUAUAAGAGCAGUGCUCCCCUGCUAGAACUGCCAAACAAGCUCCCUCUCCUCUUAAGGCUCUGCUCCGUGAGGCUGGCUCUGCCCAGGAC